This 494-nucleotide ribosomal RNA is filed under the name uncultured bacterium. RNAcentral describes it as "partial 16S ribosomal RNA". It matches the Rfam family "Bacterial small subunit ribosomal RNA", at positions 28 to 507 of the family's 1533-position model. The record is from RNAcentral.
GACGAACGCUGGCGGCGUGCUUAACACAUGCAAGUCGAACGGUGAAGCGCCUUCCUUUUUGGUGGGUGUGGAUGAGUGGCGAACGGGUGAGUAACACGUGAGUAACCUGCCCCCUUCUUCUGGAUAACCGCAUGAAAGUGUGGCUAAUACGGGAUAUUCUGGGUCUGUCGCAUGAUUGGUCUGGGAAAGAUAUUGUUUCGGUGGGGGAUGGGCUCGCGGCCUAUCAGCUUGUUGGUGGGGUGAUGGCCUACCAAGGCGGUGACGGGUAGCCGGCCUGAGAGGGUGGACGGUCACACUGGGACUGAGACACGGCCAAGACUCCUACGGGAGGCAGAAGUGGGGAAUAUUGCACAAUGGGAGCAAGCCUGAUGCAGCGACGCCGCGUGAGGGAUGGAGGCCUUCGGGUUGUGAACCUCUUUCGCCAGUGAAGCAGGCCUGCCUCGUUUGUGGGUGGGUUGACGGUAGCUGGAGAAGAAGCGCCGGCUAACUACGUG